RNAcentral lists this ribosomal RNA (450 nucleotides) under uncultured bacterium. RNAcentral describes it as "partial 16S ribosomal RNA". It matches the Rfam family "Bacterial small subunit ribosomal RNA", at positions 354 to 796 of the family's 1533-position model. The record is from RNAcentral.
GUGGGGAAUCUUCCGCAAUGGACGAAAGUCUGACGGAGCAACGCCGCGUGAGUGAUGAAGGUCUUCGGAUUGUAAAGCUCUGUUAAUCGGGACGAAAGAGCCUAGUGUGAAUAAUGCUAGGAAGUGACGGUACCGGAAUAGAAAGCCACGGCUAACUACGUGCCAGCAGCCGCGGUAAUACGUAGGUGGCAAGCGUUGUCCGGAAUUAUUGGGCGUAAAGCGCGCGCAGGCGGAUCUGCCAGUCUGUCUUAAAAGUUCGGGGCUUAACCCCGUGAUGAGAUGGAAACUACAGAUCUAGAGUAUCGGAGAGGAAAGUGGAAUUCCUAGUGUAGCGGUGAAAUGCGUAGAUAUUAGGAAGAACACCAGUGGCGAAGGCGACUUUCUGGACGAAAACUGACGCUGAGGCGCGAAAGCCAGGGGAGCGAACGGGAUUAGAAACCCUGGUAGUCC